This 75-nucleotide transfer RNA is filed under the name Pseudomonadota bacterium. RNAcentral's name for it is "tRNA-Thr". It matches the Rfam family "tRNA". Rfam says of the family: Transfer RNA (tRNA) molecules are approximately 80 nucleotides in length. Their secondary structure includes four short double-helical elements and three loops (D, anti-codon, and T loops). The record is from RNAcentral. Lineage: Bacteria; Pseudomonadati; Pseudomonadota.
GCUGUCGUAGCUCAGUGGUAGAGCGCAUCCUUGGUAAGGCUGAGGUCGAGGGUUCGAUCCCCUCCGACAGCACCA